This 578-nucleotide ribosomal RNA is filed under the name uncultured bacterium. Its description in RNAcentral is "bacterial SSU rRNA". It matches the Rfam family "Bacterial small subunit ribosomal RNA", at positions 338 to 916 of the family's 1533-position model. The record is from RNAcentral.
CCUACGGGGGGCGGCAGUGAGGAAUAUUGGUCAAUGGGCGAGAGCCUGAACCAGCCAUGCCGCGUGCAGGAAGACAGUUCUAUGGAUUGUAAACUGCUUUUCUACAAGACGAACCAUAUUGAUUAUUCAGUAUCUGACUGUAUUGUAGGAAUAAGCAUCGGCUAACUCCGUGCCAGCAGCCGCGGUAAUACGGAGGAUGCAAGCGUUAUUCGGAUUUAUUGGGUUUAAAGGGUGCGUAGGCGGAGAGAUAAGUCAGUGGUGAAAUUUUGCAGCUUAACUGUAACAUUGCCAUUGAUACUGUUUUUCUUGAAUACAAUUGAGGUAGGCGGAAUGUGUAGUGUAGCGGUGAAAUGCUUAGAUAUUACACAGAACACCGAUUGCGAAGGCAGCUUACUAAAUUGUGAUUGACGCUGAGGCACGAAAGCGUGGGGAGCGAACAGGAUUAGAUACCCUGGUAGUCCACGCCGUAAACGAUGAUCACUCGUUGUUGGCGAUACACAGUCAGCGACUGAGCGAAAGCAUUAAGUGAUCCACCUGGGGAGUACGUUCGCAAGAAUGAAACUCAAAGGAAUUGACGG